UCUAAUUCGAUGACGGGAAAGAGUAAUUAUCUCCUUCUUAUCUACAGAGAGUUGACCCUGUGCUGAAAGUCAACGUUAAGAAAGCUAAUGAAAAUCCUCCCUGAGAAGCAAAGUUGAAGAGAAAAGUGGAAAGUGCCCGUUUAAAAACAUAGAGAUUG
Molecule: unclassified non-coding RNA, 158 nt
Filed under: Oceanobacillus oncorhynchi
Lineage: Bacteria; Bacillati; Bacillota; Bacilli; Caryophanales; Bacillaceae
Description: T-box
Source: RNAcentral